GACGGAGGGUGCGAGCGUUAUUCGGAAUCAUUGGGCGUUAAGAGUGUGUAGGCGGCCGGUUAAGUCAGGUGUGAAAGCCCAGGGCUCAACCCUGGAAGUGCACUUGAAACUGGUCGGCUUGAGUUCGGGAGAGGGAAGCGGAAUUCCUGGUGUAGAGGUGAAAUUCGUAGAUAUCAGGAGGAACACCGGUGGCGAAGGCGGCUUCCUGUACCGAAACUGACGCUGAGACACGAAAGCGUGGGGAGCAAACAGG
This 253-nucleotide ribosomal RNA is filed under the name uncultured bacterium. Its description in RNAcentral is "partial 16S ribosomal RNA". It matches the Rfam family "Bacterial small subunit ribosomal RNA", at positions 524 to 776 of the family's 1533-position model. The record is from RNAcentral.